Molecule: long non-coding RNA, 247 nt
Filed under: Mytilus galloprovincialis (Mediterranean mussel)
Lineage: Eukaryota; Metazoa; Mollusca; Bivalvia; Mytilida; Mytilidae
Source: RNAcentral
CUAGGAUCAUGAAAACACGAUUUUUAUCAAGUUUUUAUUAAAUUCACCUUUGCACUUUAUUGUGGGACCUCGUGUCAUCAUGAAUGAUGAAUUUCAUUGUGUAAUGCAAUUGCGUAAGGAAUAACAUGAGAUGUGCAGUUAGCCAAUCAGAAUAACGAAUUAUAAUGAAACAUACAUCUUAUGUAAUUAUUAGUUAUAUAAAGGCAAAAUCAAUCGCUUUCGAUAUAUUACACAGCGUACUGCCCGC